Molecule: transfer RNA, 72 nt
Filed under: Paludibacteraceae bacterium
Lineage: Bacteria; Pseudomonadati; Bacteroidota; Bacteroidia; Bacteroidales; Paludibacteraceae
Also listed under: 1 other name
Description: tRNA-Arg
Rfam family: tRNA
About the family: Transfer RNA (tRNA) molecules are approximately 80 nucleotides in length. Their secondary structure includes four short double-helical elements and three loops (D, anti-codon, and T loops).
Source: RNAcentral
GACUUGCUAGUUCAAUGGAUAGAACGGGGCUCUCCUAAAGCUCAAAUCCGGGUUCGAUUCCCGGGCGGGUCA